This 518-nucleotide ribosomal RNA is filed under the name uncultured bacterium. Its description in RNAcentral is "bacterial SSU rRNA". It matches the Rfam family "Bacterial small subunit ribosomal RNA", at positions 8 to 518 of the family's 1533-position model. The record is from RNAcentral.
AGAGUUUGAUCCUGGCUUAGGAUGAACGCUAGCGGCAGGCUUAACACAUGCAAGUCGAGGGGCAGCGGGAUGUAGCAAUACAUUGCCGGCGACCGGCGGAUGGGUGCGUAACGCGUAUGCAACCUACCUUAUACAGGGGAAUAACCUUUCGAAAGGGAGACUAACACCCCAUAGUAUUGAUUUAAGGCAUCUUAGAUUAAUUAAAUAUUUAUAGGUAUAAGAUGGGCAUGCGUAUGAUUAGCUAGUUGGUAAGGUAACGGCUUACCAAGGCGACGAUCAUUAGGGGUUCUGAGAGGAAGGUCCCCCACACUGGUACUGAGACACGGACCAGACUCCUACGGGAGGCAGCAGUGAGGAAUAUUGGUCAAUGGGCGCAAGCCUGAACCAGCCAUGCCGCGUGCAAGGAAGACGGCCUUAUGGGUUGUAAACUGCUUUUACAUAAGACUAACCGUAUAUUUGCGAAUAUACCUGAAUGUAUUAUGAGAAUAAGGAUCGGCUAACUCCGUGCCAGCCGCGGC